UGCGUUGAAGGUUGCAUUCAAUUUUCUCAAUUUCUUGAAAACCCAACAUUCAAAGACCAAGAAUAUCAACACCCAACUUCUCAAUUUCAGUAAAGUUUCUGUCUUUAUCAAUCUUGACCCAAAAUACGUUGAAUUUUCACAAUAUCUUGAAAACCCAACAUUAAAACAUCAAGAAAAUCAACACCCACUAUCUGAAUUGCUAUAAAGUUUCAAUCUUUAACACACCCACCAUCAAAUCUUGACCCAAAAUGGUGGUAAAGAUGAUGAAAUGGAGACCUUGGCCACCAAUAUUAUCAAGAAAGUUUGAGGUGAAAGUGGUGGUGAAGAAGAUGGAAUUUGGGGGUUGUGAUCCUGUACAUGCGGACACAGAGAAAGAUUAUCAUAGGGUUGUGGAGAUCAAGUGGAAAGGACCCAAGAUCACUCUUGGUUCAUUGAGGAGAACAGUGAAGAGAGAGGUUACAAAAGAUGGGAGUAUUGUUGAUCCAAACGGUGUCGUUUUUGUGGGAUCAAGAAUUUUGUUCAGUUUGUACCCUUUCUGGUAUAAAGAAAAUGAGUUUCUUCCUUGGGAGAUUGGGUUGAAAGUCUUAAAUGUAAUUUUUUCAUACGUUUUGAUUCGAUGGUAUUUAAUUCGAGUUAGUUUCUGUUUAAACCUGCCGCAAUGAGGGAGGGAUUGCCACAUCUCACAUGAGUAAACCCACAAUCAGACGCUUCACUCGCCAACAUUCACAAUCCACAAAAUUCACAAUCACCAAUUCACAAUGGAGCGAAACAACAACUACAAUCGCGGCGGAAAUGACGGUGGUGGCCGGGGUAAUGGCGGUAGAGGAGGCGGUGGCCGCGGUGGUGGUGGUUAUCAUCACGGUGGACGAAACGGAAAUUAUUCGCAACAAUACAGUAAUCAACAACAGGAACAGUAUCAGGAAAAUUAUGGAGGCGAUAGAGGUAGAGGCAGGGGUCGAGAAUCCAGUGGGAUCGGAAGUGUUCUCGGCCGUGGUCAGCAAAGUCAACGGACUCCGGCUAACCCUAGGCAGAAUGUCGAUCGAGUGCCGGAAGUCAACGCGUGAAGUCGUGUAGCGUCUGGUCAACCGGCUGUGGCCCAAACACAAACCCUAACUCAGAACCGGAAUGAUCGUUAGGUUCAAGAAGUCAGUUCAAAAUUAUCAACUCUUAGUGUUACAGGCCACUCAAAAGAUGAUGUAGCAAAUGCUCUUCUACCAAUUAAGUGUCCGGACCGCGGUACACACGAAAUGAGAUCGGUGACAAGCGACUCAAGAUCGCAUUCGAGCUUUGGUCUCUCAGAAAAGAUGUGCCAGAGGAAUCGGCUAUUGGGUGUGAAGGAGGGUAGUUCUUUGGGGAUGAUAUGCCACGUAGACGUCCACGUCAGCGGGUGUGGGGAAUGAGCCCCAAGGGAUGGGCUUAGGGUGUGGGGAUGAGCCCCUUUAUAUAUACAUUUGUAUGUAUAUGUGUCUGUUGGAUAAACAAGAUGGCUCGUCGAGCACGUCGAGGGGAAGAUGUCGGCGACGGGACGGGCCUAUGGGGGGUGGUGUGGACGGGGCUCGACGUCCCACCGACGACCCCAUACCCAAUAGCCUAAACCGAAGAUGCUACGUCUCCACAUGCAGUUAUUUUUAGUUAUUAUGUUUUAGUUGUUUGGAUGCAUCCCGUGCUUAUAAUUAGGUUAUUUUAGGCUUAAGAGUAAAUUACAAAACUCGUCCUUUAUGUAUGCAACUUAUUGCAAACUAUGUCCUUUAUCUUUAAUAAGUACAAAAACCAUAUUUGAUGUUUGCAAACCUUUA
Helianthus annuus (common sunflower) is the source of this 1796-nucleotide long non-coding RNA. RefSeq lists it as uncharacterized. The record is from RefSeq and is a predicted model, not a curated record. The transcript has 5 exons. NCBI's taxonomy places the organism in Eukaryota, Viridiplantae, Streptophyta, Magnoliopsida, Asterales, Asteraceae.